UGAUAGGUGAUAGAAGAGGGAAUUUAUUU
This 29-nucleotide non-coding RNA is filed under the name Homo sapiens (human). The record is from RNAcentral. Lineage: Eukaryota; Metazoa; Chordata; Mammalia; Primates; Hominidae.